CAGUUGGGAGCUCGUGGACUUUCUCAACCACUGAAUUUGUCUCAUCUCUUUCUUUGGGAAUUGCUCACACACUUUUGAGAACUGCUUAUGCAUUAAGAUACUAUCAUCAUAUUGCACUAUGGAAAGCUAUGCCAAACUUGCUCUAUAUUUAGUGUCCUUUUACACAUCUUUUGGUUUGUUUUGUGAUUCAUCCACUUGAGGUGAAUUCUCCUCAAGAAUGAGGUGCUUAUAGUAAAUCUUUUAUUGUAGCCAUCCAAACCCUCACUUAAAAUCUAGACAUCUUCAAAAAUGUACAAUAAAGAACAGCAAAUUCAAGCUGAAGUGGAGAAAAGAUUGAAAGUAAUUCCUGAAAACACAUGCAGUAUCAAGAGCUGAAGCAAGUGCUGCGCCUGCUCGUUUUAACCAUAAAGCUGACUGGACAAAGCUCAAAAACCAAUCUUUAUAUAUCACUCGAGGUUACAAUAGCAGCUGUGACAGCUGAUUAUCAGGCAGUGUUUCGGAACGAAAUUUAAAUGACUUGCAUUUGUAAGACCAGCACAAGGACCAUAAAAGGGUGCUUCAGGAUGAUCAGUAUCAAGGAUUCAAGUACAACUUUAUGUUCAUUCAUUAUGAUUGCUGGAUUUGAUAAAUCAUUGACUUGGAUGGACUACAUGAAACCUUAACAUUUUCUGGAACUAUUUCACAGCUUGAGUUGGGCAAUGAAAAUGGAAAAAACUUGAUUUAAAGAAACAAUGUCUUGUUUCAGGGUCUUGCACUCUCCCCAUUAAAAUUCUUUUGUAAAACAAAAGCAUACCAUUUCAUUAAACAAAAUAACUACAUAGGCUCCUCCAUAUGUUAUUUUCUUUAAAGGUCUAUGCAUGUAAAAAAUCUGUAUUGCAUUAAAUAGGAAGCGAAUGUAAAUAUGACACAUGGAAAUUUUCCAGAUGAUUAAACUGUGAAAUACAAUUUAAUACUGAAGAAAAUUUCUCUUCUCUCUCAGCUGACAGCAUGCAUUUCUAUACAGA
Molecule: long non-coding RNA, 1004 nt
Filed under: Struthio camelus australis
Lineage: Eukaryota; Metazoa; Chordata; Aves; Struthioniformes; Struthionidae
Description: lncRNA (ENSSCUG00000013095.1)
Source: RNAcentral